GACGAACGCUGGCGGCGUGCUUAACACAUGCAAGUCGAACGGAAAGGCCCUGCUUUUGUGGGGUGCUCGAGUGGCGAACGGGUGAGUAACACGUGAGUAACCUGCCCUUGACUUUGGGAUAACUUCAGGAAACUGGGGCUAAUACCGGAUAGGAGCUCCUGCUGCAUGGUGGGGGUUGGAAAGUUUCGGCGGUUGGGGAUGGACUCGCGGCUUAUCAGCUUGUUGGUGGGGUAGUGGCUUACCAAGGCUUUGACGGGUAGCCGGCCUGAGAGGGUGACCGGCACCAUGGGGACGGAGAUACGGCCCGGAUCCUUAGGGGGGGAAGCGGGGGGGAAUUUUGCACAAGGGGGGGAAGCCGGAUGCAGAAACGCCGGGUGGGGGAUGACGGCCUUCGGGUUGUAAACGGUUUUCGCCUGGAAGGAAGCGUGAGGGGGGGAAAUGGGUAAAGAAGCACCGGCUAACUACGU
RNAcentral lists this ribosomal RNA (467 nucleotides) under uncultured bacterium. RNAcentral describes it as "partial 16S ribosomal RNA". It matches the Rfam family "Bacterial small subunit ribosomal RNA", at positions 28 to 506 of the family's 1533-position model. The record is from RNAcentral.